This 1124-nucleotide long non-coding RNA is filed under the name Mytilus galloprovincialis (Mediterranean mussel). The record is from RNAcentral. Lineage: Eukaryota; Metazoa; Mollusca; Bivalvia; Mytilida; Mytilidae.
GUGAAAUUUUCACUGUAUCACUGGAAAGGAUUAAACUUUAUACAUGCAAAGUAUUUCUUUGGUUGAAAUAAAAGUAAAUACUAUACAAUUUUUUUAAAAGUGCCAAUUUAACAAAGACUAAUAGGGAAAAAUCAAUGGUGGUAUUACACCUAUUUAGGGAAACUCCAUGUGCACUCGUGACCUUAUUGUACUUUCAUUUUUAAAAGUUAUUAAUAAACCAGUUCAUGCAUUGUAAACAUGGACUAUUUGGAAUGGAUUUAGACACAGAAAGCACGUUUGAGGUAAAAUUGCCUUGACAUGGGGGUUUACGGGUGUUUUCUAAGUCAAAUGGGUGAACAGACGAGGCUGUUUUUAGUUUACUGUGUUAAAUUUUAAAUUGCCCUUACAGUUUUGUUUAUACACCAUGUGAAUUUCAGUGUUAACCAUGUUCUGAAGAGCAUUCUAUUGAAAAAUCUUAUAUGUUUAUUGGUCGGCAGAUGACACUUCAGCAUUAAAGUAUGUAUCAACUAUCGUCAUGUUAUUUUUUGUUUUGACGGCAAAAGUUUACAAUUUGCCAGUGUACCGUCUACAUUUUGCACAGACAAUAAAUCAUUUAAACACUUAUUUGCCCUGGAUUUAUACACAUCAGAAUCCAGUUUCACAUACUUAAACUUUAUAAUUCUUACCAAUUUAUUUUUUAUACCAGCAUUCCAAGGGACAUAACCCUUUUUAAAAACAUUUUGAGGUAUUUUUCUAUUACUCUUUCUCCCCAUUUUCUAAUGUAAAAUACAAGAAAGUGGAUUUUUGUGUAAAUCUAUUAGAAUUAAACUGUUAUGAUUAAAUAAAAAGGCUUUAAUACCAGUAACAAUUAAUGAUUGACUGAAAGGGAACCGUUAUUUGUCACACUAGGGGAACAGACCAAAAACUCAUGUUACAUAUAAGGGCUUAUAGAAACUUCCGUGUAGACUGUUAACAUUUAUAGAGACAGUUCUUUCAGCUAAAACACUUUAAUUAUUGAUUUAACAGUACAUUUAUUUCAUUUUUGUAGGAAAGUAAUCACAUUUGUUUUAUUUUUUAGACAAAAGAUAUCAAGUUUUGAUGAAAAAGGAAGGAAGGAAGAAAUAUGGAUCAUAACAGACCAAAAC